UAAAGUAUAGUACUUAUAUUGACCCAUGGAUAAGUCAACCCAGGUUUUUGGGGUCUAUUUUUUGACUAGCAUUUCUAGACUUAUACAUGAGCAUGUAUGGUAUGUGUUCAUGCUCUGCCUUGUGAUAAUGACAGAUUUUCUUCAUGGUAAUAAUGGUUGGCAGGAGUAGGAAAACUGCAGACCACAUGAAGCCCCAACCCUUCUCUUGUGCUCCCUGAUUUCUCUUGAAAUUCCCAUAUGCUCUUCAGAUUUGGGGGAGAUGGAAAAUCACCCCUCCCCCCAAAAAAAGUUGAAAUUAGGGCGGUUGCUACACCUAAAUUUCUUCAGGAACAGUGAAAUAGAAAACUGCCUUACAUGUGUGAAAAGGCCAUCAAACCCCUAGAAAAUUUCAACCAUGAUACUCACUGGUGACUUCUGCCCAAAAAUCAACUAGUGCAGCCUGUCACUGUGCUUUUACUAAGGAAAGAUUGAACCCUGCUGUAUUUGCCCACUGUUGUUCUAAGAGCUGAUUUAUACAUACAAUAAAUUAGGAUCCCAGUUGUUGUCAGAAACCACCACCCUUUUCAAGGAAGAAGUAAGAAAAGUGUACCUUUUCAGGUAGAAGGGGGAGGGCCCUUGUUUUUCCCUUCACUCAAUGCUUUCCUCCUUCUAUCUGCUGGACAUUUUUCUUUCAUCUGGAAACAAUACAUGUCUCCAUCAUAGAAGGAAGGGAGAAGCAUCUGGCAACAGAACAAUUAAGUAGUACAUCCUCUUGUUUAUGACCUCCCUCCUGCCAGCUGUCCCUUCUGCUUUGCAUCUGUGUAGUGGCAACCAGGAUUUUCAGGUCUGUAUUUGCUGUGACAAAACCUUUCAGACAGGAUAUUUUGCUUUCUUUCUGGUCCAUUUCCAAGGAGUGGCCUCAGAAGCAUCUCGCCUCUCUUGCCUAUUUGGGUCCAACACCAAGGCCCCCCUGAAGAACCAGAGCAGAAGACUUCUAGACCUCCUUUAUAUGUCAGGCUUUACAAGAGGCUUGCACAUUAUUGGGCACCUGCCCCCACAGAAACCCCCAAGGAGAUGACCCCAGAGGUCUGGGAAGUAAUGCAGCUGUCAGCCAUUGAAUUCUCUGUCACUACUCAGAACAGACAUCUUGACUUAAAACGUACUGAAGACUUCAUGAAUAUUUGCAUUGAACCUGAUACAGUCAGUAAGGGAGACUACAUAACAAGAGGAAGUCUAAAGAUGCAGGAACCCCACAUGUGUCCAGAAGGAAGCCAGUUUCUUCAGGCUAGUAGAUGCAUCUUGGAGCUUCCAGAG
This is a long non-coding RNA of Sceloporus undulatus (fence lizard), 1293 nucleotides long. RefSeq lists it as uncharacterized. The transcript is spliced from 4 exons. Lineage: Eukaryota; Metazoa; Chordata; Lepidosauria; Squamata; Phrynosomatidae. The record is from RefSeq and is a predicted model, not a curated record.